This is a long non-coding RNA of Lolium perenne, 435 nucleotides long. RefSeq lists it as uncharacterized. NCBI's taxonomy places the organism in Eukaryota, Viridiplantae, Streptophyta, Magnoliopsida, Poales, Poaceae. The record is from RefSeq and is a predicted model, not a curated record.
CUACUGCAAUCCUCGUCAGUGGUCUAAAGGACUCAUGUUCCACGAGUACCGAUACAUACCUGAAUCGUUCACGGAACUGAUUAAGAACAUCCGGGCACAAAAUGCGCAGUUGAAGGUUCCACGUGUCAGUCUGCAUUCGCGCUGAAGGAGCAAACACCAAGCUUCACAUUACCCAAUGAAUGAUGAAGGUUCUGAAAACAUACAGAGAAGAAGAGAGGAAGCAGGAUUAUGAAGAGAACUUGGGAAACUAUGUAUCUGUCCAACUAUAUGAUUAUAUUGGAAAAGGAAGAUCCAACCUCAGUUUGUCACCUCAUGUUAAUUCCCGAAUAACAUGUUCCAGAGUUGUCUUCUAAACGAGAACCGCAUUGAAACUCUGACUAUUUUUUUUAUUUUGAGAAACUACGGGCCCGAGGCCUUCAUCUUCAUGUAACUGUU